RNAcentral lists this ribosomal RNA (939 nucleotides) under Penicillium chrysogenum. Its description in RNAcentral is "eukaryotic LSU rRNA". The stretch from base 610 to 753 matches the Rfam family "5.8S ribosomal RNA". Lineage: Eukaryota; Fungi; Ascomycota; Eurotiomycetes; Eurotiales; Aspergillaceae. The record is from RNAcentral.
GCCGUUCAGGGGGUUCAUCGUUAGGGGCGUAAUUUUUUUUAGAGGAAUCCACCCUUUGGGGAGCGCGGGAGGAACAGCUCUCCCCCUCCUUGGGGGGGGUGUGUGGCGCUUCAAAGGGGGGGUGGGGGGGUUGCCCCCUAAAAGCUUUCCCUCCCGAUUGGAUACCCGACACACCGGGGGAUCGCAAGAUGUGCUGGAAAAAAUCCGUCCCAGGCUACACCGUUUUUAGAAAGAGAUUCGCCGCCCUCUUUAAAAACCCCCUUUAAAAAAUUUUUUUUUCCCCCCCCCGACACGCCCGUCGCUACUACCGAUGAAUGCUCAGUGAACCUGGGAUUGCUUAGAGGUUGCAACGACCCCCCAGAGCCGAAAACUUGGUCAAACUCGUCAUUUAGAGAAGUAAAAGUCGUAACAAGUUUCCGUAGUGAACCUGCGAAGGAUCAUUACCGAGUGAGGACCCUCUGGGUCCAACCUCCCACCCGUGUUUAUUUUACCUUGUUGCUUCGGCGGGCCCGCCUUAACUGGCCGCCGGGGGCUCACGCCCCCGGCCCGCGCCCGCCGAAGACACCCUGAACUCGUCGAGAUGUGUCGAGUAAAAUAUAAAUUAUUUAAAACUUUCAACAACGAUCUCUUGUUCCGGCAUGAGAGAACGCAGCGAAAUCGAUACGUAAGUAAUGCAAAUUCAGUGAAUCAUCGAGUCUUUGAACGCACAUUGCGCCCCCUGGUAUUCCGGGGGGCAUGCCUGUCCGAGCGUCAUUGCUGCCCUCAAGCACGGCUUGUGUGUUGGGCCCCGUCCUCCGAUCCCGGGGGACGGGCCCGAAAGGCAGCGGCGGCACCGCGUCCGGUCCUGGAGCGUAGGGGGCUUUUCACCCGCUCUUAGCCCGCCGCGCUUCCGAUCAACCCAAAUUUAUCCAGGUGACCUGGAUGAGGGAGCUCGGGGAA